UGAAAAUCAGAUCAAGGGUCGAGGUGUUGCCACCUCAAUCUCUGUCAUUUGGUCCGAUCAAAAGGCCCUCACUAUAUCAGGGCUCACAAAAUAAUUAUGAGUCAACUAUAUAAAUCUGUUGGAUCUAAAUUGCCUGUCAAAAUUUGUAGAGAAGAGAAGGAAUAGUUAUUUCAUCAGGAAAGUUUCCAACUGUCCUCAAAGGCUUCCAAUAAUCCAUCAUGCUACUGGUAUCAAUCUUCCCUAGCAAUGGAGUAUUGGAAGACUUGUGGACCGUUGAAGACACAUUUCUUUCAUCGAAGUAAAUCGGGUCGAGCCAUCUAUCUAGAUUACAAAAGGAAAUUUUGAAGGAAAAAACGACAGUUGCUUUGUGGUUGAAGUUUGAGCAAUUGUGCAUGGCUAAAAGCCUAACGAGGAAAUUGCAUCUGAAGUCGAGGUUGUAUUCUCAUUGCAUGGUAGAAGACGGAUCUUUGGAAAAUCAUCUAGCUGUGCUGAAGAAGAUCAUCGCUGAUUUGAAAACUUUAAAGAUAAAGUAUGAUGAAAAAGAUUUGGCCUUAAUCAUUUUGUGUUCGCUGCUUCCUUCGUUUACUUCAUUUAGAGAUAGAUCUUGUAUAGUCGUGAUACUGUCACCAGUGAAGAUACGUAUGAUUCAUUAUUUUCAAAAGAGAGAUGAAGCAUCUGCUUGGAUUCGAGGCUGGAGAUGGAGAAGGCCUUGUUGUUCAUGAUGAUCGAGGAGAAGGGAUAAGUCAAAAUCAAAUUUCAGUAAUCAUGUUUGUUAUUAUUGCAAGAAAAAAUGACACAUUAAGAGAGAUUGCGACAAAUUGCAAAAUAAAGGUAAUUUAACUGCAAAUUAUAGAAAGCAAUCAAAACACUUCAAACGAGACCAACAUAGUCGAGUACUAUUUGAGUGAUGGAGAUAUUUUGACAAUUUCUAACAUGUAAUCCAAACUUGACGAGGAGUGAAUUUUGGAUACAACUUGUGCAUUUCAUAUGAGUCCCAAACAAACAUAUGAAACGGUGAUGCAAUGUAUCGUUGUCAUGGGUAACAACAAACCUUGUAAGGUAGCUGGUAGUGGUAGAGUCAAAUUGAAGCUGGUGGAUGGAACAUGUAGAACACUUGCUCAUGUUCGACAUAUUCCAGACUUAAAGAAAAAUAUCAUUUCGUUGAA
Molecule: long non-coding RNA, 1166 nt
Organism: Olea europaea var. sylvestris
Lineage: Eukaryota; Viridiplantae; Streptophyta; Magnoliopsida; Lamiales; Oleaceae
Exons: 2
Source: RefSeq, a predicted model, not a curated record